CCGACCAAGGAAAGGGACGGACUAACUACGUCGCCAGCAGCCGACGGUAAUACGGUACGGUACCCGAGCGUUGUCCGGAUUUAUUGGGCGUAAAGCGAGCGCAGGCGGUUUGAUAAGUCUGAAGUUAAAGGCUGUGGCUCAACCAUAGUUCGCUUUGGAAACUGUCAAACUUGAGUGCAGAAGGGGAGAGUGGAAUUCCAUGUGUAGCGGUGAAAUGCGUAGAUAUAUGGAGGAACACCGGUGGCGAAAGCGGCUCUCUGGUCUGUAACUGACGCUGAGGCUCGAAAGCGUGGGGUGUCG
RNAcentral lists this ribosomal RNA (300 nucleotides) under uncultured bacterium. Its description in RNAcentral is "bacterial SSU rRNA". It matches the Rfam family "Bacterial small subunit ribosomal RNA", at positions 478 to 771 of the family's 1533-position model. The record is from RNAcentral.